AAUAUGAAAUUGUGUUUUACUAAUAUUUAGUCAACCAAAAUAUUUUUCAUAUGAUUGUCUCUUGUUUAUGUACAUUUUGUAUAUUUUUCAUAUUUUAUGACUUAUAAAAUAAUUGGUAUGAAUUUUUGAAGUUGGUCAGGAGUAUCUAAGUCUAAAUCGUACCAAAAAGAGAUUUUGGCAAUUUUUUCAAUUUUAAAAGAUAAAAAUUGUUCUAAGAUCCGUAACAGUAUUAAGUCGACCUAGACUAAAUCCACCUGAUACUCUAGAACCAUCAUCUCCAGUCAGCUCAAUUAGAGGACCAAGGAAAGUCUAAUAUCAUACCAAAAGCUGGCAGCAUGCCACAACAAAUCUCACAAAAAACAAAUGGUCCUGCCAAAUAAGUGAAGAGUAACCAAAUAAGUUUUAAGUCCAAGCACUUUGUUCCAGGGACUGAGUCAUGAUCAAGUCCUCCACACUCCUUAGAAGUGCAAACUGAAUCCCAUGAGACUUUAGCUCCCUUGGCAC
Molecule: long non-coding RNA, 504 nt
Filed under: Brassica napus (rape)
Lineage: Eukaryota; Viridiplantae; Streptophyta; Magnoliopsida; Brassicales; Brassicaceae
Description: long non-coding RNA (BNAP_LNC001743)
Source: RNAcentral